GCGGGUGUAGUUUAGUGGUAAAACCAUAGCCUUCCAAGCUGUUGUCGCGAGUUCGAUUCUCGUCACCCGCU
RNAcentral lists this transfer RNA (71 nucleotides) under Enterococcus faecium. RNAcentral's name for it is "tRNA-Gly". It matches the Rfam family "tRNA". From Rfam's summary of the family: Transfer RNA (tRNA) molecules are approximately 80 nucleotides in length. Their secondary structure includes four short double-helical elements and three loops (D, anti-codon, and T loops). RNAcentral also lists the same sequence under 1 other name. The record is from RNAcentral. Lineage: Bacteria; Bacillati; Bacillota; Bacilli; Lactobacillales; Enterococcaceae.